This 668-nucleotide ribosomal RNA is filed under the name uncultured cyanobacterium. RNAcentral's name for it is "bacterial SSU rRNA". It matches the Rfam family "Bacterial small subunit ribosomal RNA", at positions 99 to 795 of the family's 1533-position model. The record is from RNAcentral. Lineage: Bacteria; Bacillati; Cyanobacteriota.
CGGACGGGUGAGUAACGCGUGAGAAUCUGCCCUUAGGAAGAGGAUAACAGCUGGAAACGGCUGCUAAUCCUCUAUAAGCCGAAAGGUAAAAGGAUUUAUCCGCCGUAGGAAGAGCUCGCGUCUGAUUAGCUAGUUGGUAAGGUAAUGGCUUGCCAAGGCGACGAUCAGUAUCUGGUUUGAGAGGACGAUCAGACACACUGGAACUGAGACACGGUCCAGACUCCUACGGGAGGCAGCAGUGGGGAAUUUUCCGCAAUGGGCGAAAGCCUGACGGAGCAAUACCGCGUGAGGGAAGAAAGCCUACUGGGUUGUAAACCUCUUUUUUCAGGGAGGAAAAAAAUGACGUGUACCUGAAGAAUAAGCAUCGGCUAACUCCGUGCCAGCAGCCGCGGUAAGACGGAGGAUGCAAGUGUUAUCCGGAAUUACUGGGCGUAAAGCGUCUGUAGGUUGUUUAAUAAGUCAACUGUUAAAUCUUGAGGCUUAACUUCAAAACAGCAGUCGAAACUAUUAGACUAGAGUAUAGUAGGGGUAAAGGGAAUUUCCAGUGGAGCGGUGAAAUGCGUAGAUAUUGGAAAAGAACACCGAUGGCGAAAGCACUUUACUGGGCUAUUACUGACACUCAGAGACGAAAGCUAGGGUAGCAAAUGGGAUUAGAUACCCCUGUAGUC